GACGAACGCUGGCGGCGUGCUUAACACAUGCCAGUCGAACGGAAAGGCCUCUUUCGGGGGGUACUCGAGUGGCGAACGGGUGAGUAACACGUGAGUAACCUGCCCUUGACUUUGGGAUAACUUCAGGAAACUGGGGCUAAUACCGGAUAGGAGCUCCUGCUGCAUGGUGGGGGUUGGAAAGUUUCGGCGGUUGGGGAUGGACUCGCGGCUUAUCAGCUUGUUGGUGGGGUAGUGGCUUACCAAGGCUUUGACGGGUAGCCGGCCUGAGAGGGUGACCGGCCACAUUGGGACUGAGAUACGGCCCAGACUCCUACGGGAGGCAGCAGUGGGGAAUAUUGCACAAUGGGUGGAAGCCUGAUGCAGCAACGCCGUGUGCGGGAUGACGGCCUUCGGGUUGUAAACCGCUUUCGCUCAUGACGAAGCUUUGUGUGACGGUAGUGGGUAAAGAAGCACCGGCUAACUACGUG
RNAcentral lists this ribosomal RNA (467 nucleotides) under uncultured bacterium. RNAcentral describes it as "partial 16S ribosomal RNA". It matches the Rfam family "Bacterial small subunit ribosomal RNA", at positions 28 to 507 of the family's 1533-position model. The record is from RNAcentral.